UCCUACGGGAGGCAGCAGUGGGGAAUAUUGCACAAUGGGCGCAAGCCUGAUGCAGCAACGCCGCGUGAGGGACGAAGGCCUUCGGGUUGUAAACCUCUUUUAGUAGGGAAGAAGCGACUGGGUUUUCCUGGGAGUGACGGUACCUGCAGAAAAAGCACCGGCUAACUACGUGCCAGCAGCCGCGGUAAUACGUAGGGUGCAAGCGUUGUCCGGAAUUAUUGGGCGUAAAGAGCUCGUAGGCGGUUUGUCGCGUCUGCUGUGAAAACCCGAGGCUCAACCUCGGGCCUGCAGUGGGUACGGGCAGACUAGAGUGCGGUAGGGGAGAUUGGAAUUCCUGGUGUAGCGGCGGAAUGCGCAGAUAUCAGGAGGAACACCAAUGGCGAAGGCAGAUCUCUGGGCCGUAACUGACGCUGAGGAGCGAAAGCAUGGGGAGGGAACAGGAUUAGAUACCCUGGUAGUCCAUGCCGUAAACGUUGGGAACUAGAUGUGGGGACCAUUCCACGGUCUCCGUGUCGCAGCUAACGCAUUAAGUUCCCCGCCUGGGGAGUACGGCCGCAAGGCUAAAACUCAAAGGAAUUGACGGGGGCCCGCACAAGCGGCGGAGCAUGCGGAUUAAUUCGAUGCAACGCGAAGAACCUUACCAAGGCUUGACAUAUACCGGAAACGGCUGGAAACAGUCGCCCCGCAAGGUCGGUAUACAGGUGGUGCAUGGUUGUCGUCAGCUCGUGUCGUGAGAUGUUGGGUUAAGUCCCGCAACGAGCGCAACCCUCGUCCUAUGUUGCCAGCACGUAAUGGUGGGAACUCAUGGGAUACUGCCGGGGUCAACUCGGAGGAAGGUGGGGAUGACGUCAAAUCAUCAUGCCCCUUAUGUCUAGGGCUUCACGCAUGCUACAAUGGCCGGUACAAAGGGCUGCGAUACCGCAAGGUGGAGCGAAUCCCAAAAAGCCGGUCUCAGUUCGGAUUGAGGUCUGCAACUCGACCUCAUGAAGUCGGAGUCGCUAGUAAUCGCAGAUCAGCAACGCUGCGGUGAAUACGUUCCCGGGCCUUGUACACAC
RNAcentral lists this ribosomal RNA (1055 nucleotides) under uncultured Cryobacterium sp. Its description in RNAcentral is "bacterial SSU rRNA". It matches the Rfam family "Bacterial small subunit ribosomal RNA", at positions 337 to 1390 of the family's 1533-position model. Lineage: Bacteria; Bacillati; Actinomycetota; Actinomycetes; Micrococcales; Microbacteriaceae. The record is from RNAcentral.